CAACAAGGAAGGCAAAGCUGGGAGGGGAUCUGUUGUAAAUGUCUAGCCUAGGUGUGUCCCUGGAGGUUUUCUGGCAGAAAUUUGAGCUUGCAGAGUCCUCAGUUCAAGUGUGCUUGUUGGGAGAUGCUGAUUGCGAGCCUCGGUUUUUAGAAGGUGGCAUGCUGUGGUCUGCGGUGGGCUAUGAAUUCUGCUGGAGUCCAUGCGCUUUGCAGCAGUGCUGCUUCUUCUCACAUCAGGAAAAGGCACACUGGGACAGAGCAAUGAUGUCGGAGAAGGACAAUCACAUCUCUGCAGACUUUGAAGAAGCAGGUGACAUCAAGAUGAGCCUACUCUGGUGAGAAGAUAUAAUGGAGAAUUUUCUGAGAAUGAUUUAUUGAGUCAGCCAGCAUGACUCUGGAACAACAGAUACUUUUCCAGCACAGAGCUACACACAGAAGUUUAGUGAGAAUACCUACGAGACAAAUCUGAGGUAAAUUUUUGUUAAAAAGUUUUAUCUAGACUUUUGAGUUACAGUGCAGAAUGAAAAAAAAAAAAAAACCAAAACUAAAACAACCAAAACUGGACAGAAAAAAAACCUGAACCAAAAGCAAAAUCAAAAGGGAGCAUAUUCAUGUUUAAUU
Molecule: long non-coding RNA, 620 nt
Filed under: Zonotrichia albicollis (white-throated sparrow)
Lineage: Eukaryota; Metazoa; Chordata; Aves; Passeriformes; Passerellidae
Description: lncRNA (ENSZALG00000016304.1)
Source: RNAcentral